Molecule: non-coding RNA, 15490 nt
Organism: Anas platyrhynchos (mallard)
Lineage: Eukaryota; Metazoa; Chordata; Aves; Anseriformes; Anatidae
Source: RefSeq, a predicted model, not a curated record
GUAGCAAAAUGCAGUCACGGAUACCUUCUUGUGGAGAGGCUUGGGUAUAACAAAAACUAACUAGUGGGGCUGAAUGCCAGACAUUUGGAGAUGUUUUUGUUCAAAUAAGCCCUCUAAAGUUCAGACAUGUAUACAAGUUUUAUCUGUAUUUAUCUAAAACCCUGUUGUCAGGAAAUCUUGGGAGAAAAGCUCUUGUGAGAGACUUUUGAUAUUGCCUACAACAGUUUUUCUUGACUGCUAAUUCUGGUCUUGGCAGAAAAGAGGAAUAGCAGUGUACUCACACACAUAUAAAACAGUUCAAAGUGAGUUGAUUUACUUUUCUCAGUGAUACUGUGUUUCAGACUGGAUGCAAUAGGUAAAACUUCAUUCAAUUUUUCUGCAAACUUGAAGCUGUUAUAAUUUCAAAUCACCAUUAAAACAAACAAACAAACAAACAAAAAAGCUAUAUUUUAUUUCCUAUUAGUUUUAAGAUGUAAGUUGUUCUUCCUUUGUUUUAAUUGGUGACUGACAACCUUUCUCUGCUGAACUCAGUGAAAGCUUUAUUCUUGAUUUCAUUACAUUUACAUUUUUGAUGACAUUUCUCUCCCUUCUGCAUUUUGCUUCAUUUUCACACAAGACCCUUUUACUAACCAUAAUACUUAAAAUAAAUUUUUGGAAAUAUUGGGAAAUAUUUCCCAAUAAAUAAAUAAGGGAAAAAUAAGGGAAAUAUUUCUACUUGGUUCAGGAUGUCAAAGUAUUUAAAAAAUUUCAACUACGUCUAAAUUUCUGGUCAAAAUUGACUUCAGAUAUUUCUGAAAAAUCCCUUACUUGGGUAAGAGUGUCCUUGUUGGCCCAAUUGUUUUCUUUGUGAGAAACAAUUUUGUCUUGUCUCAUCCAUACUACUGAAAAGUCAAUAAAAAUCAAAGAAUCCUAAAACUUAUUAAUAUAGAUUUCUUAUAAUUAAUUCUUCUCACAGGCAUACUCACACACAUAUACACACUUGCACGUUCUUCCUAAAUUAUAGAUGUGUAUUUUGGUCAAAAUUGUGUAUUUUUUCAGCUAUGUUCCAUUUUUAACUUUGCAUUUCAGCAGAUUAACGCAAUAUAAUUUAUUCUCUUACUGAGCAAAUUAAAGACUAAUUGGGCACACAGGUCAUUGGAGAUAUAGUACACCAUGAUAUCCUAGGCAGUAUCUACAGCCUGAUUUUGCUUAUUGAAACCAUUUCACUGUUUUUAAAUCCUAAUCUGAAACAGUAUCAAUAUCAUGCUUGAGAUUCAUGGUGCUUUCAUAUGACCUUAACAAGUAUUUCUCAUUUCUUCCUGGAAUUAUUACAGGAUCCAUUUUCAUAGAUCCAUUGAAUUAAGCAUCAGAACUGUUUGCUAAUAGCAGGGGGCCAUAUGUUGCCCUUGCUAAACAACACAGUAGGGAGCAAAGGAGUACAAAUACCAGUGUAACAAAGCCAGAAAAUGCAUGCCAAUGGGAAAAAGAGAUGGUAUGCCAACACUCAUGACAUGACAGGGCAGUAGGAAAUCCAUUGUAUAACAGCUAAUGGCAAAUAUGAUGCAAAUAUGAUUGUGAUAAAGAAUUAAAUUCCCAGGGGAACACUGACACGUUAUGGUACUACCUUCCUUUGCAAGAUCCAAACUAAUGGAGGCGAGGCAGCAGCGUUAGCCUUCUCUGUAUUUGUUAACACUAGGCAACAUGAAUUGACAACAGCACCAAUUGUGUCACCUGUGCUGGGAAGGGUUUUGAUCAUGCCUAUUAUGGCACAUGCUUUUGAGCAAGAAUGUCUGAGGUUUAGGAAGAAGAGAUGACCAGGCUAUAUAUGACCUCUUCUUCAGGGAUUUGCCUCAUGGAAUUUCAGCAUUUGAAAGACUGGAGAAUAUUAAUCCAUAGAUUGCCCAGCCAUGCCUGAGAACACAGCAGGGGAGGACUGUCAGAAUAGGAAAUUAUUUCUCAGGCAAAUGGGGAAAUGGAGGAAGCUAAAACCUGUGUGAAUUGAGAAAAAAAGUCAAGACCUGAGAGAGCAGACACAUGGAAAACCAAUGUUUUCUGCAGAGCAGCACUAGGAUGUCAGUGCUGCAAAACACAUGAAAGCAAGAGUUAAAAGAAGACAACAAUCAAGGAAGAUGACCAUUGCAGACAAAAAUUCAGAGCCAAGGAAAACAGAUCUGUUCAAAUUACAGCCAGCACCAGCAUCCUACCUAGAUGGCAGUGUCACAGUGUCAGCCAAUAUGAGAGUGCUACUUCCAGAAGAUAAAAUAUAGGAUGUAAAAUGAGUUAUUUUAAUUCAUGGUUGGGCAAACAAGGUUUUGAUGCUUGUAAGAAAAGCAGAACUAUGAAUCAGUGUCUUCCUCUUCACAAAUUUCCUUUCCUUAUUUCUCUUGAUUAUUACUGUAUCUUUUUGUUGUGGUUGUUUUGUUUUGGUUUGGUUUGGUUUAGUUAGAUUUGUUUGGAUUUGGUUUAGUUAUUCUUUUCUGUUUGUAGCCUAAAGCUUCAAACUCUUCACUGAACUUUGAGUAUAAGAUCUGAAGACAGCAUAUUUAUCUAUUUAUUGAUUGUUUGAUUGAAAAGGACCAAACCACCAUGAAAUGGAACAGAAAUGAUCUGGCUUCUGACUAAAUGAGUACAAGGAAUGUUGAUUUCCUACCAGGAGACAUCUGAGAAGUUCAGUUCAUAUGCAUGCAUUUCAAUGCACUUUAUUGCAUACUACACAAAACAGGAUACAGGUUAAGAUUGUUUUACGUAAUCACUGUCUACAAAAGACCUACAAUGGAGGCAAAGGAAGAGAAUGACAAUGACAAGCAGAGAAAGGUCGAUAUUUAAAACAUAACAACAAGGUGCUGAUUUUCUAAGACCUUAUGAAUUCAGCAGAGAAUGAUUUCUACUGGGUAUUGGAUACUAUCCAGGAAAAGCUUUCUAUUUGAAAGUAUCAAAACACCUAAAAUUAUGAGACAUAUGGUACUGCCACUACUUUCACUGUUAUCAGAAAGCAAUAAUGGUCCAAGAUUACCUAAGAAGUCAGUGGCAAAACAGGGCAGUAAUUAAAAAAAUAAAUAAAUAAAUAUUUUCAGCUUUUACUAUCUGCAUGGUUUUGUAUCUAAUCUCUAAAUGCCACUGAGUUGGAAUGCCUAAGGUGUAAAUAGGUUGGUUUCAUGAUUUUUCUCUGUGACAACCAUUCUGUUACCUCCUAAAGUUUUACCUUUUAUUCAGAGUUGGUUACUUUUAUCAAAGGCCAGGUCACUUCCUCCAUAAAGUACAUUUCUCAAUCAAUGAAUGCUUGUACCUGUUCACUAUCCUAAAAAUUUAUAAUACUAUCUUUGUAUUUACAGUAAAACCGGUAUCUUGUUUCAACCUGUUCCUUCUCUUGAUCAGUAAUAGUUAGCAAUGAAAAGCAAGCAUAUAUGUACGCAAACCUUAUGAAGACACAGAUAGAUGUCUCUUCAGCUAUUCCAGGGAUUUAAGUUUCUCUGACUACUUCUCUUUCUCCCUUCUGAUAUUAUGCCAGCUAUUCUCAUAAAUUAUUUAAUUAUUUUCCCAAGGGCUGAAAUAAAGUUCCAGAGUUUAAGUUUCCUAAAACCUUUAUAUAUGCUUGCUUUUCAUAUAUGGAAACACAAUAGUGAAAUAUAACAGCUUUUCACAACUGCAUUUUCACAGUAAUUCUUCCUUCUUCAUUUCCUUCAAAACUCUUGCAUGAGUGGUGUUGCAUCCUAGUGACUGGUCUUGAGCCUUAAAGACUAUUUAGUUGUAUGUUUCUGAGUGCAUAAUCUGCCCCACAAUUUGUUUGCCAAAUAGGUGUUUGCCUAAUUUACAUUCACAAUUACCUCAACUGCUUGCAUAAAUGAGUUAAUGAAACACACAAAUGUGUAACUGGUCAUAAAUAGUCAUUUCUGUGUGCAAUUGCAGUAAUUGCAUGCACCUCAUGAUUUUUAAAAUCAAGAACUUAAUUUUAUUCUAGUUCAUGUUGUAUAACAGUUAUAUUUAAGGAUUAUCACUCAACAAAUGCAGAUGUCUUUUUCCAUUAUGCCUUUUUUUCAUUAUGGCUAAUUGGUGGAUAACAAUGUUUAACAUUUCAGGGACUUCUUUUUGCUGAUAAACAGGGUUAAAACAUUUGCCUUAAACAAGCAGGAUGGCAAAUCUAUUUAUAUAUUAUGUUGUGUCAAAGUAAAUACAGAUUUGUACUCCUUCCAAGAAUGUAUCUAUAAAUAAAUUUUAUUUGAGGUAAAAGGGGAAAAGAGAUAGUAAGAUUCUUACCUGUUUUUAUCUGGACAUUCUGAUUGAAAAUAAUCACAUUUUGAAAUCAAAUGAAUUUAACUGUUUGUUUCAGUCAUAGGGUCUGCCAAAAUCUCUCAUUUUCCAUUUUCAAGUACAGGCAAACCUCAUAACAUUUGUUAUGCUGCUGACACCCAAUAUGCUUUUCUUUUAGAUCACAACUGGUUUCUGAAUAACAUAGAACUAAGACCUCUACAACUCUCAUCUUUCUGCAAGUGUCAAGCAUGUCAUAUACAAGUACUGAUUAUAAAUUUAUUUCUUAGGAUAAUAGCAAAGAAUACGGAUUUUCUUUCUUCCCUGAUCUGUCCAGUUUGACUGGUGCAGUGACCUUAACUGACAUAGUCUUUAAAUUUACCUUUCUCAAUCAAAAGUUCAUGGAAUUAAAGAAAAUAUUUAUAAAAAUAUUAUUAUUACAAUUAAAAUCAUUGUAGAUGGCAGAAUAUUACAACUGGAUAUGGGGGGAGAAAUAAUGCCACCACAGAAAGCAAAAGAAAAUGUGGGAACACCUUUCCUGUAACUGUGUGCUUCCUCCUAUCUCCCUCAUAUCCAAAUUUUAGUUAUCUGAACAGCAGGAAUUCUACAGGCCAACAGCAUCAAUGCUUUGGCGUAUUACCUCUCAAAUAGCCUGGAAAAAUAUCUUCAAAUAAAUCUUGAUUUGCCCAGAUGUGCCUUUUUUCUUAAUAAUAGUAAAAAUAAUGGAAAUCAGGUAAGCAAGCUUUUUGCAGAGUCAUUUGUCAUGAAACAUAGAUUCAGAUCAAAUGCUUUAUGAAGCUUGGAACAAGACAAGGGCUAGAAGAAUGAGGUAAGUGCCAAAUAUGCUUUUAGAGGAUUAAAAUCUCAAUGGAAUCCCACUGUUCCGUCUAGUCUUCCAGUUUUGACACAUAAGUUGCUUGAAGUUAAAGAUGAGCCUCCCUUGUUAUUAGUUGUUACUCUUCAGACAUUAGGCUAUCAUUGCUCUGGGGAAGGGUUUCCUAACUUGGUAUUAGUCUAUGAAAAAACAUGAAGAAAUUGUUUUGCAUUAAGAUAGAGUAGCUGACAAUCAAGAGGUGAGCUUGUGUAACUGUUCUGAACAAUGUAAAUACUUGUUUUUGGGAAAGGAACUGAAAUGAAAGUGCCCUAAAUAGGUUAUCUUUCUGAAUAACAUCUGAUAGCAUGAUGGUUUUAUGCAAGCUAGUAAAUUAAAUGGUGCCUUGGAAUGGUACUCAGCUCUGGAAUUCAGGCAUAUGUAGUCUACAAUAUUUUUUUGAAUGGCCUCUGAUAAUUUUGACCUAUACCAAGUAGCACUGUCUUAAACAAUUAAUUGGCUCAUUUCAGGAGUUAGCAAGUUACUAUUAUGUUGUAUAGGAAAAUGACAAAUCUAUCUAUAUGUUCCACUUGAGUUUAAAAUGCAUUAAAAAUAGCACUGAUGCUAUUGGAACUAACAUAGUAUCUAACAUACGCAUAAAACAUAUUAUUGAGAGAUUUUCCUUCCUCAACACACAGAAAACAACUUCAAGCUUAUUAUAAAUAGCCUAAUGCCCCUGCGAGGUCACCCACCUAUUAAGUUAAAAGCAGGGACCACUAGGUUAACAGUGAAGGUGUAGGAAGAAUGUUUGCAAACUGAUAAUCUAAAUGCUUUUCAGGAUAUAGUAUGGGAAGGAUUAAAUUUCUCUUCUCAAGAAGCCAAGUGAAAGGCAGCAGCAACUUGAUAGUCCUGUUUUUAAUACAGUUAUAUAUUUACAUCUACAUAUAUAUGUAUAUAUGUGCAGCCAUGAACACAUGUAUAUAUACAUGCGCAUGUAUAUAUGUAAAUCCAUAUACAUUUUAAAUGAUUUAUCUGAACAGAAAAUGCUUUUUCUAACCCAACUUGAUUUGGUAAUUGAACAGGCACGAGUUUCUAUUGGCUCAGAUUCCUGGAGCUUUGGGGAACAUUAGUUAGUACAUUUUCAUGCAGCCACCAAACCUGAUUAAAGUUUGAUUUUUGUUUUGUUUUAUUUUCCUGCAGGUUUGUAUCUCACUCAGUACAACUGUACAUAACAAGUAUAAAGUGAUGCAAGCAAGAGAGGCAUGGGCAGACUUAAGGGAGUGGUAUUUGCUGGUUUAAACUACUCCAGCUUUAUUGAUCCCAGACAGAAAUCUAUGCAGUAUAUCUUAGUUGCACCAUGAAGCUGUGCAGUUAUAUCUACUUGCAACAAUUUAUCUGUUGAGAAUUCUUUUCCAGAGAUUUUUUCAUACUGAGGCUCCAAAACCCCUUUUUACCUCGAUGUGCAUCUUGUAAAAGCUGUUCUAAUGCUUAUGUUCAGAAGAUUGAAGUUGUUAAGGAGUAAAGUUGUAAGAGAUUUUUCACUAUACAUUAAUUCACACAGUCCUUCCUGACUUUACAAGAAAACUGAAUUGAAAUGUCAAAUUUAUAAUGUUGCAACAUCCCACUUCAUUAUGUCGCCAGUAAUGGCUGGAGGCAAGUCUUUUCUCCAUACUUGAACUGUACAUUGUGAAGCAAAUUUUACUCAGCAUGACCAUGGGUUAAAUGAGUGGGAAGUUUAUUAAUACCAACUUAUGUAAGUUUGCUUCUGUAUUAUGUCAUCAUCACAUGCUACUCAGCUCCCUCUGUUAUCUCCACUUCCUUCUGCUACUUAUCACCUGCAUUUAGCAGGUAAAGAUAACCCUACAUGUUAUGUUUAGAAAUAUUUAAAGCUAGAUCUCAAAGAGAUGAGUCCAUGGGCAGUGAAAACAAUGGAUUAUUGUAUGAAAAUUAUAGGUUGUUAUUGUUGCAUACUGGAGUGCAAAAAUACUGGAAAAGCAUUUUAUAAAAUGAAAAGACAUAUUCAGCAUUUCCCUCUCUUUCUAAAUAACCUUAAUAAAGUGGUCUCAUAAACAGUGAUCCCUAGCAUGAUUAACAUGAAUAUCUGAAGUUGGUAUAGAUGCAUACUUUUCUCAAUACGAAAUAUCCACAGAAAAAGAAUUAAAACAGAGAAAAGAAAACCGUGCAAUUAAAUACUUGCUGCUAACAAUUAAACAAAAUGGAAGGGACUAAUAAAUUAUGUUGAAAGGCAAUAGACACUGGUAUGCAAUGGGAUCACUGCUCAGUAAUUUAUGAGUUAUUUGAAUCUGGUUUAUCUGUAAAAUAGCAUAAUUCCAACUGUCAUUAGUCCAACUACAUCUCAGAAACAUCCAGUGCUAAAGUCAGAAAACUAUUUAGACGUUACUUUAGGACUGCUAAAACUUUAAAUUGUCUUCAAGAAAGAGUGCAUAUGUCAUGUCUUGCUAAACAAUGACAGUCUGGCAUUAAUAAAAUCAAAUUACAGAUGCUAUAAACCCUCACUACAAUUAGAGAAGUUCGAUGAAAUUAAUUUAGUACAGAAAGCACUGGAAGUCCAAUUGAGCCCAAAUGGAUGUGAUCACAAAAAAUAGUUAAAAUUUUUAACUUCUCUAACAGAAUGAAGAAGAAAAGGAAAACGACUCUUACUUUUCUUGUCUAUAGCUGAGCAUCACCUAAGAGAGUGAAUCUAUGACCAUUUUUCUGAAAUUAGUACUUCAAUAACACAAUUUGAAGUUAGAGGGAAAAAAAGCUGAAAGAUUUUAUUAGAUCAAAUAUCAGGAGUAGAGCUUAAUUGUGCAGAGGUGUUGGCUACUAGCUCCUGUUCCUCACUCCCACUGAAAUCAAUGAGAGCUAAAUAUUAGGUAGGCAUUAAGUACCUAUUACCUGUAAUGUUAGGCUCUGUUUUAUUGAUAAUCUUCCUCUUACUUCUAAAAGUGCCGUGGCUAUAAUAUUUUAGAGAAUCACAAGAGGAUGACAUAUUGAUAAUACAGAACUGUGAAACAUCCUUCAUAACGUGAUGGUACUAGGUUUGAUGCAAAACUUCUCAUCAAAUGUGGUUUCUACAGAAAAACGGUAUACAUGUCCUAAAAUGAUGCAGGUUAAAACAAUAUCAUGUAAAGAUGCUUUCAGGUAAAUGAUAGGAAAGAUGAUGAAAUAUACUGGAGCAAACAAAUUCUAAUACUAGAAAUAAUCGUCACUUUAUCCAACCCCAUUUUGCUAAUUUCUGAUUCUUCUGCUCUGCUUCCUUUUCCCAGGAAAUAUUCUCUUUCCUGUAGAGGAAAAAGAUUCCUGGAAAAUAGUCCUGGGAUUUGUUUUCAUAAGUUCCAACCCUUGUGCUGCAGGCCUCCUCUAUGAUUUUUGUGGCUUGAAUCCUAUUAGUCAAAGCUGUAAAUACAAUAUAUCUUUUUUCUUUUUUUUUUUUUUCCUUUUUUUUUUUUUUUCUUUUGUUUGGCACAUUUGGAAUGUGAAUAGUCUCCAAAUUCUUCCAAGAAAUUAUUUCCCUCUUUCUUUUACCCUUCUGUCUUUCACAAAAUGCUAUUAUCCUUUCUUCAACUUUUCAUACUUUUCAGAGUGGCACUGAUGGUUUCUUGGCUAAACCAACAGCUACUUCUAAUAAUGCCAUUUGAAAUCUUAUAUGAAAAAAACAUUUUUUUUAUAUCUUCAUUUAAAUUAAACCUUUUCUUGAACAUUUUUAGUAUACUUCUAGAAUGUUUGUAGGCUCUUUCUCAACCAGCUUUAGACACUUAAAAGUUCAGACAGUUAAAUUUAGAGAAGUCACCCAAGGGAUCCAUUUAUAGUCAAUGGAUAAAAAUUUGUACCUUUAAAAGGUGAUUCAUUGCUUCUAUCUUAGGCAUCUCUGUUGGGAUGAAAUUGUACUCUGGAGGCCUCCAUUUCAUACUAUUGGCUAUAAAAACAGCUAAAGGUUAGAGUUUGGCAAUUAACUUCUGGAUAUCUAAGUAAGGUGCAAUGAAUUGCAAACAUUUCAUUUUGCAGUUCUACAUAAAGAUGACACUAUAUGCCACCAAAAUAUUCCAGGACUAAAAUCAUGAGCCAUGUAUGGUUUUUCACAAAAUAACUGCUGCCUAGAAACACAGUGCUCUGCAACCUCCAGCAAUUAUAUGAGUGAAUAUCACAUGCAAAGAAAGGAUUCUGUUGUCAAGCUUAACUGAAAAAGAUAAAAGCAUUGUUUAGGUUUAAUGCCGUGUGUGGGCACUGAAUGCCUUUUGAACUCUGUGUGCAAUUUACUCUUUCACCUAGUACAGAGUGUACUGAAGGACAAAAUGAAACAAAAGAAAGGAAACUGAACUACUACCUGAACAUGCAUUACAUGUUUUCAGAACAGAAAAGGUGAGGAAUUAAUGCUAAUCUGGAAAUACUCCAAGACAAUAUAUCUUGUUGAAGAUACUGCCUGUGCUCUUCUUAUCUGUGAGGUAUGAUGACCAGGUAGCAUCCCUGUUAAAAUCGAGCUUAAUUCUUUGACACAAGAGACAACAGAGAAUCUAUAGCUGGCUGAAGAGAGUAACUUCUCUCAGUCUCAUAACAGAACUAAAGAUUUUGCCAUUAACAAAAAAAAAUUCAAAAGGAAACUGGAAGCACUUCACUGUACACAUUUCCUUCUUUGUUAUGGUUCAGUGUAUUCAGCUUCAAAAAGCGUUUAAAGGGCACAUUGCAUAGAUUUCAACUGUCUUCCAUUCCAUUAAAGCUGAGAGAUACAUGUCUGGAAGUUAACUGCCCUAAGAGAGUUUCAGAAGUAUAUUCUAAAAGUAGUUGAUUCUUUUGCCAUCCCAUAUUAGAAUGGUUUAUUUCUAUUAAAAUCAAGGAUCUAGCAUCAUUUAAAUCACAUAAAGCUGACUCUUCAGAGUGGCUUGCAGUGAGCUAUUAAAGAAACAAAUCAAUCCCCGUCUACAGAAUAAGAAUGCCAAGCAUUCCCUGAGUAGCUGCUUCUGAGACAGUGAAAGUUGUUUGAAAUUUUUUUGGCAAAGUUACAAUAAAGUGCCAUAACAGUGUUGACAGAUGCUGCUUCAUGUGCCAGCAUCUGGCUCUGAUUCACAGUGGGAUGAUAUAAACAGGGAAUAAUGGAUAGCUGUUUUGCCUCUGUGGGAUGGUGUCAGAAUUAUGUGCUGAUAAUGUCCCCAUUAAAAGAUCAAUGUCAUUUCAGAGUUUACCCAAACAGACACAGCUAUUGGGGUGAUAGGUGAGUCAUAGACAAGAACCUAAUUAAAAUGACACCAGUGGACAUCUCAGAGUUUUGCAUAACUGAAUGGAAAUGUAAAGAUGCAAUAUUUAGACUCUAAACGACAGCUAAAAGUAUUUCAAAACUUGCUCAUUAAUAAAUUAGACAUUUCAAUAACUAAAACAAUGUUCAACUUCUCAUAAAUAUAUUCAAAAUUACUCUUUAUUACUUCAUUCCUUUCAGACUAUUUGAAAAGUAAUCAGAACUCUCCCAGAAGAUUAUUAGUGGAAUAAAUGCUUCUGUUGUUGUAUCAUCUCCAUUUAUGUCAUUAAUGGAGACAAAAGUAUUGAUCAGUGUUUCAUCAUAGAAACUUUUUUUUUUUUUUUUCCUCAUAAACAAAUAUGGACAAUUAACCAUCAGCUCUGAAAAUGAAAUCUCUGUAAAUUUUGGGGUACAGUACUGCCCUCAGAGGGAAAAGACCAAUUAAUUCUUAGGUGCCCUGUCUGCUUAAAAAGUAAAACCAUAAAAUUUUCACAGCUCUAAAACUCUCAUUCUAACAUUUCACUAAUGACAUUUUUUGUUUGUUUGUUUGUUUUUCUCUAAGGGAGAGGGCUAUUGAGUAGGGAGCAUUAGAAAGCAUCUCUAGGAAAAAAAAAUAAAAUUCUUUACUGCUCUGUCAAACAUGAAAGCCUAUAACUCUCUACAGUUUCUCAUGCAGAAUUUCUCUGAAUAAGAAGCAGAUAUGUUAUUUACUUAUUUAUUAUGACUGAUUUUUCAAUUGUAGUGCAUCAAUUACAUCCCCAGAUGAACUACUCUCAUAUCAAAGUUACCCCCACGUAAAUCUGAUGUAACAAGGUGAAAAGUUAGACCUUGUCAUUGAUAUAUCCACAACACAUUCUAGUCUUUAAUCAAGCAGGAGUGACACUUAAAAAUAGUUCAAGAGCUUAAAGAGUUUAGCUAUCUGUACAGCAGAGGGCAAGUAUUUAAAUCCAGUGCUACAGCCCACCCACAGUAAAUGCAGACAAUUUUACUUUCAAAAUUAGGUAUUCAAUGCUCUAAGAUCUUAUAGAGAAAUAUCACUUCCAAGAUCUUACAAUAUUGAUGUAUUUUAUAACAGUAUCUAUAUAAAUCAUUUUAUGUGGCAAGUAUCAUACAAACACUGACUUGCAAUUCUCUUACCACAUUUGUGUUACAGAAAUAAUCCCUGCUCUUUGACUGAAUAGCUCUUGACAAUGGAAAAGAAGAGAAAAGUCUUGUAAAAGAAAAUUAUAGACCGGAGGUCAUUCAAUUUGUUACUUUUUUCCAAGACCAAGCAGGCUAUAGGAUUCCUCAUGGACUCUGGCCACAAUUUAAUUGAAUUUAUUAACAGCAUUUUUAAUUUAAUUUAAUUCUAUUUAUUUUAUUAUUUUAUUUCACUUCAUUUUAAUUUUAACAUUUAAUUUAAUUUUAAAAUUAUUUUAUUAUUAUAAAUAUGUAUAUAUAUAUAUUUUCUAUAACCAUAUGUGUCCUAGGGGGAGAAAUGUAUGAGAUGAUGGGAUGACUGUUUUACCCUAUAGGGACACUCACAGUGCCAGAAAACUUGAGUUUCUUCAGUGCAAAUAUUUUUUCAACAGUAUAAGAUUAACAAGAUUGUCUACAUUACUUUGGCUUUUAGCCCCUGGCAUGGAUAUAAACAAUAAACAUAUUGAUAAAAGGAAAUGUUAUGGACACAUUCUUUGCAGCCCACCUAUUAUUGGAGAUGGUCAUGUAGUGGUAAAAGCUCCAUUUGGUAAUUGGAUACUUCAGUGCAAAGAUUUUAGAUAUGCUAAUAUCUAAAUAAUGUCACAGCUGUACUUUCUGAUUUUCCAUGAUCUUUGUUGUCAAUGAGGUAACUAUAAAAAUUAACCAGUAGUGAGGCCACGGUAUUGAAAUGCAAGUUUUUUAACCAAAACUGAAACACAGUAAAACUAAUUACUUAAAAUAAAUUUCCAAGACUUCCAAAUUAAAAAAUAAAAAAUCCAAACAUGAAUAUACAGUAUACCUGUGCAAAAAAAAGUGCCACAUUAGGACAAAAUAACCAAGAGAUGUUUAUUGCUUAAUUAAGCAGUAUGCAACAUGCAGAACCACAUGCUUAGGUGGGCAUGCAAAAAGAGAGAUACACACAAGAAUUCACUUUAGGUAGCUGCAAAGAAAAGGUACUUGUUCAUUGGAACAACUUCUUGAUCUGCCAGAGUAGUUCAAGAAAUAUUUCUACUAUUCUGUGUAAAGCGAGAUGGUAAGUACUGCAGGGAAAACAGGUGAGCAGAGUGGUAAAAAGGAGUUUUGUACUUCUCACCUUGUGAAAUCUUCCUGAGCUUAUGGCUAAAACUCCACUCAUUUUUAUUGUAAAAGGCUGAGACCCUCAGAUACUCUCUUUUACACAAAGUAAAACUUAAGUCUUGGAAGUUAGUUGGUAUUGAUGUAAUUAUUGGGAUUUACAGGAAGAUUUGCAUGAAAAUACUCAAAGUCAGAGACAAAUGCAGGCCAGAGAAAUAAGAAAGUGGAUGUGGAUGCUUCAUGAAUCAGCUUAGCAAGAAUUUCCCCUUCUAUAGUUUCUAAUGAAUCCACUGUGUACAGUGUACCUAUAUUUCAUUCAUUUUUAAAGGUAAGUCUACAGUAACAAAAUAAAGCUUAGAGAAAAUGAACAACAUUUCAGCUUCACUUCUUAAAAUCAAAGCAAGAGUUUAAACUGACGUCCAACAUAUUAUUCAGGUUACUGUCAAAAUGUAUUUAAAUCUUUUAAAAUGUGUACAUAAUUAACGAAAUGUAAGAAUCUAAGUGUUGCUGUUAAUUAUAUGGUAACUACAAACGCUAUGUUAAAUGGUCUGCUCUUCUUUAUACUCUUGGAUAAAAUUUAUAUAAACCUAAAAUCAGAUAAUGUUGCCAGUAAAUAAAAUGAUCUUUUCACUAAUACAGAAAUUCCAAAAAUACAAUCCAAGAAUAUAUACUGAAUGGCAUUGUUAUUAUUGACUAAUCCAUGUAUUGUGCCCAAAGAAUGUAAUGAGCAGGAUACUCCUCUUAUGAAAGUCAAUAAGAUAGAAAUUCACUAUAGAGUGUAAAUAUUGAAAAUAAUCUACAUAGUAGGCAAUACAUCUAUAUAAAGGAAUCUUCAAUUUAAAUAUAAUAAUAUUAUAUAUAAUAUAUAUAUAUAAUAAAUAUAUAAUAAACAUAUAACAUUAUAUAAUGUAUAAUAUAUAUCGUUCACAAAUUUUAAUCUUGGGGCUGACAGAAAUAAAUGAUUCCUAGUUUGAAAGUAUUGUGGUGUCAGGGUGACUGUAAUUAAAUUCGUUAGCUGAAUUUCUCUUAGAUCUCUUUGUUUGGACAAUGUAGUUUAACAUAAAAUAUAUAAAUUGAUAAAAGGAUAAAAUAUAUCAGAUUGUAAAGCUAAUUGGAUAUUAUGGUUAUUAAAGGGACUUGGUGUUCUGAUGUUUUCCCCACAUUUAUGUAUUCAAGAAAAUGAAUUAUCAUAUUUCAUUUCACAAAGGCCAGUGUGAAAUGAGCACAUUGCCUGAGAAAGGCAACAAACACUAACAGUAACAAACACUAACAGGUGUUAAUUGCCGCUCCUCGGCAAUUUCUAUAAGGAGCACAAAGCUGGGCAUACCUGGCCUUUACCUUGCUUCUCAGAGACAUGGUCUGGAUGUUUCAGCAUAGUUUCUCACGGACUGUGAAUUGACUAAAGCUUGUUUUGAAGGCUUUGUUUUAUUUUACCUUUUACAAAUAUAUAUCAUGCUCUGUCACAAAAAAAACAUUCACAGCAUUUAACUUUAGAUGUAGACAAACAAUUUAUGUCAAAAAGCAGUUGUUUUACAAGUAUAGACACUGUUGGACUUUUGGAGAUCCUAAGUUAAGGAGCUACCCUUUUCCUUUUCACCUAUAAAUCACAUGAUUUAAAUAUUUUUAUGACUUUUUUCCACUUUCUGGGGUCUUGAAUUUGUCUACCCAUAAGGCUCACUGACACUCAAUGUCCACUGAAUAUUAACCUGUGAUUUCUCAGAAAAACUCUAUCAUAGCACAGUGAAGUGACACAAGGCAAACAUUGGAAAGCAAGAGCAGAUGGUUGUGUCUUUGAUCUUCUGAAAUUCCACUCACUACAGAGUCCCUGCUCCCCUUCAUGGUCUUCACAGUUUCCUUGUGGCUGGAGAGGUCAAAAAUGAAAAGCCAUCUUCUCCAAAACUCUCUUCCAACAGCAGGUCUGCUCUGCCUUUGGAGAGUACCAAACAGCCCAGGGAGUUGUCUGGAGAAAGGGCUCUGACACGUGUCAAAGCUUCUUGCAGAUGUCAGGAAAACUCUGAGGGUGAUCUUGAAGAGCUCCAUGCAACUCUUCACAUUGUGAUUUAUUAAUGAUACAGCUGUGUGAAUCACAUCUGCUACAGGGAGUUUUAUAUAUAUAUAUAUUUAAAUCAAAACAUAACUGAAGGUCUCUGCUUUUUUUUUUUCUCUCACUCUGAGACUAGAUGAAGACCAACCUGAUAUAAUAUUUUUCUCUCCUUUAAUUCAAUCAUCACUCUCCAUUUCAUUCUUUGAGAACAAGCCAAACAAACCAUCUCCUUGCAAAAUCCCAAGGUUAUUCAUUUUCCCUCCAUAAAAAUCUGUGUCCUCACUCUCCCUGUUUUGAGAGUCUGUGCUUCUCAACUACAUACUUUGGCUGUGCCUAGACAUGCCAAGAGAAGACCAAAACUACAAACUACAAACUACAAGAGAUAAGGAAACACAGCCAAUUCAGGUCAAUGUCAGUGGAGAGCUUCCUGAGCAAAUAAUGACUGAAGUUUGUAAACUUGUUGCAAAGGUGUGCCUUAAUAUUCUAUCCUUGACUCUUCAUAAAUAUCAUUACCUAUCGUUCCUAGGAUUCUGUCUUCUCUAUCAUAUGUCCUCUUGUACUGGAGGAUGAUUUCAUUAUGAUUUCAGAAGGAAGAAUGACAAUUAAAUAAGGUCAGGGUAAAUUGGAUUAAUGUGAUGUUAUGAGACAAUUGUCAAUCAUUAUCGGUAGUUCUAGCUUCAUUUUUGUUUGUUUGCUUGUUAAGAAUUGUUUGUAUUAGAACAGAUGAACAUGGAGAUAUGGGAAGAGGGAAGAUAAAACACAAAGGUGAUGAUUCAGCUAAGAUAUUUUAUAUAUGAAGAACAACAAUGGCUCUUCUAUUCUUGAAGCAUUCUGGGGUUAAUGUUUGCUAUUUGUUAAGAAAAAAACAAUACAAUAUUAAUGAUAAGCUCCUUCCUCUUGCAUCACAGCCAAAAAAAAAAAAAAAAAA